UAAAUCCAAUCCUCGCAGAGGAUAUUCUAUCAUACUUCUGAUCCUUAUCGUUUUGGUUGUUUACCCCAGUGGGCCCACUUAUGGACGGCUCUGAUUGUAAAAAGACAAUUUAUAUUGCUGAAAUGAGCAGAACUGGAGUGCAUUAAGGUAAGUCUGAUGUAAGAAUCCAUUAUGAUCAAUCUAGAUACAUAUAGGCGUGUAAAAAUGUUGAAUGCAAUCAUUACGUGCUACUCUGAAUAAUCAGCAUUCAAGUUUGUUUUAAACUCCUUCACCCUGUGUCCACGACUUCGCGGGCUCCUUUUAUGACUUCGGCUCUUCGUUUACAAUCUUCCUUCGCCACCAUAUUUUUUUUUCGGUUUGUCUGUAAAAUUGCCAGAUAGAUUAAGGGUAUUUUCUUUACAAUCUUCCAUGUUGUGCCAUUAUUAUUUCGAUUUUUUUCUAAUUGAAUUUGAGUCUUUUGUUUGGGGGGGAUUGAAUCCGCUUUUGCUAUGUUAAACAAAAAACCAACCGCAAUUUGAAGAAAAUUGAAAACACUCUCAAUCAAGCAAUCUUAUAGGACAUACCGAUUUUCACCCAUGAUUCCAAAGGCCACUGAGAGAGAAUUUGUUAAUCUUUACAGCCCAGUCACCAUGAGAGCCAAGUGCAAGAAGAAGCGCACGAGGAGAUUGAAGAGAAAGUGCCGAAAGAUGAGACAAAUAUCUAAAUAGAAUAAGAAAUUAUUAUUAUUAUUAUUUCAAUUUCUUUACUUUCUCUCUCUCCUUUGUGGAUUUUGUUGAAGUUUUGAUAACUUCGACUGGUUUAAUCUAAUGAAUAUUAUUAGUUUUAGAUCUAAAAAUAAAAUCUUAUAGGACAUACCCAAAAAAAAAUUCGAUGGCAUAGGAAGAUUGUUGUCGUAAAAUAGAGCGAAACCAGCAAGAUUGUCGCCGGCAAAAGAGAGAGAUGUUGGAGCCGUCGUCCAAGGAGCUCGCGAAGACGUGAAUGGGAGACGUAACUUGGGGUGAUUUAACUUAGUGACGUGGCUAGUACCCAUCAGCUGCCAACUCAGGUUGUACAAAAAGAUUUGUACAAUAAUUUGUGACUGUAUUAUUAUUGUUAUUUUUAACGAUAGUUUGCAAAUGAUUUUGAGAGAUGAGACAAACUGCUCAAAAUUCAAAUAGAUAUUGUUAUAAUCUAUCUUGAAUUUUUUUAAAACAAAUCUAUCUUGUUCCUCCUACAAGCUUUGCUCAAUUUCUUAUCCAGGAUAUGUAUGAGGUUGCUUAUCCUCGUCUUGUUUGUUUUAGCUUUUUGUUGUAAAGAGCCCCAUUGUACCCAAAAAAAAAAAAAAUCUAUCUUGAAUUAAAAAGAAGGGAUAUUAUCAUUUUCCUAUCAAAAGUAUUCUGACACAUCAUGUCAGUACCACAGUUUGGUAAAGCUAUCAAUUUACCACCAAACGUUUAAACUGUUAGCAUUUUCCCACUAUUCCGUUAAACUCAGUUAAUAUGUAACAGAAAAUUCAUAAAAAGUCAAUUUUACCCAUGGAGCGUAAAAGACCAUGUAAUAAACAUUUUAUAAAUUUUGUAAUUAAAUCAUCAUUUACUGUUCUUCCUUCUUAAAGGGUAAAAAUUACCCUUUAUGAAUUUUAUAAAAUUGAUCGUGUGGUGCUAGGUGCUUCAUAAAUUGAUUUUAAGACAACAUCUUCCAUCUCUACUUACACCACAAGUGGACUGGAAUAAAAAUAUAAAAAGAAGGACAAAUCAGAAAGGAAUCAAAAGUGACACAAAUGAAAUAAGCCUACAUCAUCAGAUGAUAAUGAGAAUGACGAUUGACCCAUCUACUGUUACAUUAUUACUGUUGUUACUAUUAUUAUUAUGACUUAAUUUAUUCAAACCCUAGUCCCAGUCGCAGCACCACCACCAACACCCUUAGGUCCUGCCGGAUCGACGCUGGGGCCGGCUCCGAUGCCGUAGUCAGUAUCUCGGUAGCCAGGCCCAUAUCUGCUGCUGAACAUGCUAGCAUGAAGCAGCAAGAGGUACAAAAACUGAGUGAAUGUUAGGAUUAUGAUGAAUGCCUCUACCACCCUCAGUCUCCAUCCUCUGUGUUGUCCUAAGUUUAUCUCCUUGCAAGCCAGCCUGUUUGAUUCGAUGGGGUCAGAACGAAGAAACUGGAAACUUAAGGAGGCUAAAUAAAAAAUUCUGUGAAAUAAGGGGACCAAAACAUAAACUUUUCAAGAUUUAAGUAAGAAAGUGAAAGAAUAUAUGUAUACCCGAAGGCUAAUGCAGUUAUGGCCCAAGCUAUUAAAGAAGUUGAUCCUGCUGCUGCUAGGCUAUCACUCCUCCAAGCUCUAAUGUGGUUGCCGCCGAUGAAUUUCGAAGCUACGCCGAGAACGCCGGCUAAUAGAGCGAAGGUCAGGAAGAACAUUGUUGCUCCAUUUCCUCCAAAACCUGAAAAUAAAAGCUGCAUGUAAGAUUUGGAAACUCGCUUUCUAAGUAGGUGGGCCCACCACAAAUUAAAAUUUCGGCCAUACCCUUUCAAGAAUUUCGUUUGCAGGAUUCAAAUUCCUGAGAUUCCAACUUGGGUGGCAACUUGGGUGGCCAGUAGAAAAGGGCUUGAAAAUAACCUUUAAAAAAAGAAAAACACCAAAAAACUUACUAGGAUGAUUGGUUUGGCCAUUGAUGAACCUGUUAAGACACCAGCUAGCAAACCCCACCACGAUGAGAUACAUGAUCAGGUUCAGAAACAACAAUGGAGCUGCUAUAUUUCUGCCCACAGUCUGAGCCAUCUUUCUUCUACUUCUUCUUCUUCUUCUUCUUCUUCUCUCUUCAAACCCACAAAACUAAACAACCGCAGUUCAGCGAAAAGCUAUAAGAUAACUACGAACAAUUUUGCAGCAGUGGAAACAACCUCAACUCUUCUGCUGAUCUUUAAUCAACUUCUGCUUUCUGCUUGUGCUUUUGGUAAGGCCAAAGGAUACAGACUUGUGAAGCUAUAUAGAAGUGCUAAGUGUUUUGACUUAGGAUACGUGUAAGCAAACUAGCGCUUGCAUGGUUACAGGUGGUGGGACACUUGUCAAUGAAUGCCUUCCUCUCUUUCGAAUCUCGAAGUUUGCUUCUUCUUUUUUUUUUUUUUCUUUUCUUCCUUUUUCCCCAAAUAUCAUUAUGAGAACGGUGCAGUGCUUAUAUAAAUCCAAUCCUCGCAGAGGAUAUUCUAUCAUACUUCUGAUCCUUAUCGUUUUGGUUGUUUACCCCAGUGGGCCCACUUAUGGACGGCUCUGAUUGUAAAAAGACAAUUUAUAUUGCUGAAAUGAGCAGAACUGGAGUGCAUUAAGGUAAGUCUGAUGUAAGAAUCCAUUAUGAUCAAUCUAGAUACAUAUAGGCGUGUAAAAAUGUUGAAUGCAAUCAUUACGUGCUACUCUGAAUAAUCAGCAUUCAAGUUUGUUUUAAACUCCUUCACCCUGUGUCCACGACUUCGCGGGCUCCUUUUAUGACUUCGGCUCUUCGUUUACAAUCUUCCUUCGCCACCAUAUUUUUUUUUCGGUUUGUCUGUAAAAUUGCCAGAUAGAUUAAGGGUAUUUUCUUUACAAUCUUCCAUGUUGUGCCAUUAUUAUUUCGAUUUUUUUCUAAUUGAAUUUGAGUCUUUUGUUUGGGGGGGAUUGAAUCCGCUUUUGCUAUGUUAAACAAAAAACCAACCGCAAUUUGAAGAAAAUUGAAAACACUCUCAAUCAAGCAAUCUUAUAGGACAUACCGAUUUUCACCCAUGAUUCCAAAGGCCACUGAGAGAGAAUUUGUUAAUCUUUACAGCCCAGUCACCAUGAGAGCCAAGUGCAAGAAGAAGCGCACGAGGAGAUUGAAGAGAAAGUGCCGAAAGAUGAGACAAAUAUCUAAAUAGAAUAAGAAAUUAUUAUUAUUAUUAUUUCAAUUUCUUUACUUUCUCUCUCUCCUUUGUGGAUUUUGUUGAAGUUUUGAUAACUUCGACUGGUUUAAUCUAAUGAAUAUUAUUAGUUUUAGAUCUAAAAAUAAAAUCUUAUAGGACAUACCCAAAAAAAAAUUCGAUGGCAUAGGAAGAUUGUUGUCGUAAAAUAGAGCGAAACCAGCAAGAUUGUCGCCGGCAAAAGAGAGAGAUGUUGGAGCCGUCGUCCAAGGAGCUCGCGAAGACGUGAAUGGGAGACGUAACUUGGGGUGAUUUAACUUAGUGACGUGGCUAGUACCCAUCAGCUGCCAACUCAGGUUGUACAAAAAGAUUUGUACAAUAAUUUGUGACUGUAUUAUUAUUGUUAUUUUUAACGAUAGUUUGCAAAUGAUUUUGAGAGAUGAGACAAACUGCUCAAAAUUCAAAUAGAUAUUGUUAUAAUCUAUCUUGAAUUUUUUUAAAACAAAUCUAUCUUGUUCCUCCUACAAGCUUUGCUCAAUUUCUUAUCCAGGAUAUGUAUGAGGUUGCUUAUCCUCGUCUUGUUUGUUUUAGCUUUUUGUUGUAAAGAGCCCCAUUGUACCCAAAAAAAAAAAAAAUCUAUCUUGAAUUAAAAAGAAGGGAUAUUAUCA
This 4514-nucleotide long non-coding RNA is filed under the name Citrus sinensis (sweet orange). RNAcentral describes it as "long non-coding RNA (CSIN_LNC002428)". The record is from RNAcentral. Lineage: Eukaryota; Viridiplantae; Streptophyta; Magnoliopsida; Sapindales; Rutaceae.